Molecule: unclassified non-coding RNA, 1212 nt
Filed under: Lingula anatina
Lineage: Eukaryota; Metazoa; Brachiopoda; Lingulata; Lingulida; Lingulidae
Description: sushi, von Willebrand factor type A, EGF and pentraxin domain-containing protein 1-like, transcript variant X2
Source: RNAcentral
GGCACCCGCAGACAGUCUUCAAUGCCACCAUGACGCAGUCUGGCAACAGAUACCUAGAUGUCGCCACAUACACGUGUAUAGAGAACCACGCCUUCCAGGAUGGAACGACAACGAAGAAGGCGUCUUGCUUGAGUAGCGGGCAGUGGGAUAACAGCGUCCCAUCUGCCUGCAUUCGUCCCCAGUGCCCGACGGUGUCCAGCAGCCUUUCUUACACCACGGUCAACUCGAGUGACCACGGUGCGGGGGCGGCGGUGAGGUACGAGUGCUCUCAAAACGCCACCUUCAGUGACGGCAGCUCGGUGAGGACACGCCGUUGCCUCGUGUCCGGACACUGGGACAGCACGGAGGAGGCGUGUGGUAAGGGUUACCGUGAGAUAACACCGCACCAGUUUGGUGGGUGGGCUAAGCUGUGUUGACAUAUUAAUUUUAUAAUUAAAGUCGAUAAAAUUCGUCACAAACCGAUUCUUCGGGCGGCCUGAGGCAGGUAAGAUCAUAUGAUCACAUGGCAUAUCAAAUCAACCCGUGCAAAUAAACGGCAGUUCUGACUAUAAUCAGAUCAGGUAUAUAUUUUUUAAGUUGUGUUUUUAACUCAAUUAUUAACUAUAAAAUAUCAUAACGACGUUUAUAAAUCAUAUGAGGUAUUCAUUCAAUCUCACCAUCAUCAAAUUACUUAACAAGAUCGUGGGCCACGAACAACAAAAAAGGUAGGUAAAUUUUCUAAAUCCAUAGAACUCAAUCUCUUUGUUUAAAGUUUACAUUUUACUUUACUGUCUUUUUUCUUUUUCUUUAUUCAUGUCUUUUACGCUUUAGAGGUUUUUCUUCCUGCUUUUUUAUGUGUGGAUGUUUAUAUAGCUACACUUACUCGCUACAAAUCGGUGAGAUGGGAUGAAAGGAAGAGGUGUGUGUGUGUGUGUGUGUGUCUGUGUGAGAGAGUGGGAGAGAGAGAAAGAGAAUUAACUUGGAUUGUGCGGUGUUGUGCAUCAGAAAAACGUGGUUGUUUGAUAGAUGUGCCUAACUUGAAAGAAACUGAAAGUUGAUGUAAUAGUUGUUGAUAAUAACCAUCGACUUCAAGCCAGGAAAGAUCCGUAGCAGCUCAAGCAUGUAGAAGUAGCAAUUUUCGGUGAAAAAAAUAACAAAUCCAGGAAAGGGGGCACACCAAGAAAUUCGGAGGUGACUUAUACGGGCUCGAAGCGACAUUAUCUUGCAGCCUCA